This 2072-nucleotide ribosomal RNA is filed under the name Salmonella enterica. RNAcentral's name for it is "partial 23S ribosomal RNA". It matches the Rfam family "Bacterial large subunit ribosomal RNA", at positions 711 to 2763 of the family's 2925-position model. The record is from RNAcentral. Lineage: Bacteria; Pseudomonadati; Pseudomonadota; Gammaproteobacteria; Enterobacterales; Enterobacteriaceae.
AGACCCGAAACCCGGUGAUCUAGCCAUGGGCAGGUUGAAGGUUGGGUAACACUAACUGGAGGACCGAACCGACUAAUGUUGAAAAAUUAGCGGAUGACCUGUGGCUGGGGGUGAAAGGCCAAUCAAACCGGGAGAUAGCUGGUUCUCCCCGAAAGCUAUUUAGGUAGCGCCUCGUGAACUCAUCUCCGGGGGUAGAGCACUGUUUCGGCUAGGGGGCCAUCCCGGCUUACCAACCCGAUGCAAACUGCGAAUACCGGAGAAUGUUAUCACGGGAGACACACGGCGGGUGCUAACGUCCGUCGUGAAGAGGGAAACAACCCAGACCGCCAGCUAAGGUCCCAAAGUCAUGGUUAAGUGGGAAACGAUGUGGGAAGGCCCAGACAGCCAGGAUGUUGGCUUAGAAGCAGCCAUCAUUUAAAGAAAGCGUAAUAGCUCACUGGUCGAGUCGGCCUGCGCGGAAGAUGUAACGGGGCUAAACCAUGCACCGAAGCUGCGGCAGCGACACUUUAGUGUUGUUGGGUAGGGGAGCGUUCUGUAAGCCGUUGAAGGUGUCCUGUGAGGGGUGCUGGAGGUAUCAGAAGUGCGAAUGCUGACAUAAGUAACGAUAAAGCGGGUGAAAAGCCCGCUCGCCGGAAGACCAAGGGUUCCUGUCCAACGUUAAUCGGGGCAGGGUGAGUCGACCCCUAAGGCGAGGCCGAAAGGCGUAGUCGAUGGGAAACGGGUUAAUAUUCCCGUACUUGGUGUUACUGCGAAGGGGGGACGGAGAAGGCUAUGUUGGCCGGGCGACGGUAGUCCCGGUUUAAGCGUGUAGGUGUGUGUUCCAGGCAAAUCCGGUUCACUUUAACACUGAGGCGUGAUGACGAGGCACCACGGUGCUGAAGCAACAAAUGCCCUGCUUCCAGGAAAAGCCUCUAAGCAUCAGGUAACAUCAAAUCGUACCCCAAACCGACACAGGUGGUCAGGUAGAGAAUACCAAGGCGCUUGAGAGAACUCGGGUGAAGGAACUAGGCAAAAUGGUGCCGUAACUUCGGGAGAAGGCACGCUGACACGUAGGUGAAGUGAUUUACUCAUGGAGCUGAAGUCAGUCGAAGAUACCAGCUGGCUGCAACUGUUUAUUAAAAACACAGCACUGUGCAAACACGAAAGUGGACGUAUACGGUGUGACGCCUGCCCGGUGCCGGAAGGUUAAUUGAUGGGGUCAGCGCAAGCGAAGCUCCUGAUCGAAGCCCCGGUAAACGGCGGCCGUAACUAUAACGGUCCUAAGGUAGCGAAAUUCCUUGUCGGGUAAGUUCCGACCUGCACGAAUGGCGUAAUGAUGGCCAGGCUGUCUCCACCCGAGACUCAGUGAAAUUGAACUCGCUGUGAAGAUGCAGUGUACCCGCGGCAAGACGGAAAGACCCCGUGAACCUUUACUAUAGCUUGACACUGAACAUUGAGCCUUGAUGUGUAGGAUAGGUGGGAGGCUUUGAAGCGUGGACGCCAGUCUGCGUGGAGCCGACCUUGAAAUACCACCCUUUAAUGUUUGAUGUUCUAACGUGGACCCGUAAUCCGGGUUGCGGACAGUGUCUGGUGGGUAGUUUGACUGGGGCGGUCUCCUCCUAAAGAGUAACGGAGGAGCACGAAGGUUGGCUAAUCCUGGUCGGACAUCAGGAGGUUAGUGCAAUGGCAUAAGCCAGCUUGACUGCGAGCGUGACGGCGCGAGCAGGUGCGAAAGCAGGUCAUAGUGAUCCGGUGGUUCUGAAUGGAAGGGCCAUCGCUCAACGGAUAAAAGGUACUCCGGGGAUAACAGGCUGAUACCGCCCAAGAGUUCAUAUCGACGGCGGUGUUUGGCACCUCGAUGUCGGCUCAUCACAUCCUGGGGCUGAAGUAGGUCCCAAGGGUAUGGCUGUUCGCCAUUUAAAGUGGUACGCGAGCUGGGUUUAGAACGUCGUGAGACAGUUCGGUCCCUAUCUGCCGUGGGCGCUGGAAGACUGAGGGGGGCUGCUCCUAGUACGAGAGGACCGGAGUGGACGCAUCACUGGUGUUCGGGUUGUCAUGCCAAUGGCACUGCCCGGUAGCUAAAUGCGGAAAAG